This 200-nucleotide unclassified non-coding RNA is filed under the name Penicillium sp. RNAcentral describes it as "partial internal transcribed spacer 2". Lineage: Eukaryota; Fungi; Ascomycota; Eurotiomycetes; Eurotiales; Aspergillaceae. The record is from RNAcentral.
UUAAGUUCAGCGGGUAUCCCUACCUGAUCCGAGGUCAACCUGGAAAGAUUGAGGGGGGUCGCCGGCGGGCGCCGGCCGGGCCUACAGAGCGGGUGACAAAGCCCCAUACGCUCGAGGACCGGACGCGGUGCCGCCGCUGCCUUUCGGGCCCGCCCCCCGGGAGCCGGGGGGCGGGGGCCCAACACACAAGCCGUGCUUGA